AUGAAGAGUUUGAUCCUGGCUCAGGAUGAACGCUAGCGGCAGGCCUAACACAUGCAAGUCGAACGGUAACAGGGAAAAGCUUGCUUUUCCGCUGACGAGUGGCGCACGGGUGCGCAACGCGUAUAGAACCUACCCUGUACAGGGGGAUAGCCCGGAGAAAUCCGGAUUAAUACCCCGUGGUAAUUAGAAUUGGCAUCGAUUUUAAUUUAAAGCUUCGGCGGUACGGGAUGGCUAUGCGUCCUAUUAGCCAGAUGGUGAGGUAACGGCUCACCAUAGCUAUGAUAGGUAGGGGCCCUGAGAGGGGGAUCCCCCACACUGGUACUGAGACACGGACCAGACUCCUACGGGAGGCAGCAGUGAGGAAUAUUGGACAAUGGGCGGGAGCCUGAUCCAGC
RNAcentral lists this ribosomal RNA (395 nucleotides) under Alexandrium margalefii. RNAcentral's name for it is "partial Bacterial small subunit ribosomal RNA". It matches the Rfam family "Bacterial small subunit ribosomal RNA", at positions 1 to 392 of the family's 1533-position model. The record is from RNAcentral. Lineage: Eukaryota; Dinophyceae; Gonyaulacales; Pyrocystaceae.